CUGCGCGGUGCUUGCCCGGGAGGCGGGUGGCUUGCGAGCCGCGCGACAGCCCCACGGCUCGCGAGCCGCCUCCUAGCUCGGACCCGCAGUCCGGCCUCCGCCCAACCUUCCCCCUCCGCUUUCAAGAGCCCUAAUGGGCGGUUUGGACUUCUUGGUGGCACUGCGUACUAAGCCAGUGUCACCCUCUGACUCCUGUCCCGGCACGCGUGAUCUUGUUUAGGAACUAGUCAUUUUGCGCUCAGUUCGGUUGAAUGAGAUUGUCUUUUUCCUACGAAGAGUGGGUUGGCAGCGCAGACUUGUGAGAGGAAGUAGACGAAAAAGAGUGACCAUCUUGGGCACUUGCUUAGCCCGAAUGUGAGAAUAAUUCUGGAAAGUACUCUCUGGCACCAGGGGAUGGGCAGAAGCUGGCUCCUGUAAAAGGACUCCCCGGAGGAAAACGGAGACCUGUAAUGUAGAGCCAUCGCUUCGCCUUACGCCUUACGAAUGGGAAGCUGAGGACAGUCGUCGCUGUAAAACUCUGACAGGUGCCUAAUUUGAGAUGAAAAGAAAAGGGGAAAUGGUCCUUCCUUAGGCCGUUAUGUGAUAAGGGGGUAAGCAUAAAUCGAGAGAAGUCCGGCGAGAACACCGGGCAGGCAGGGGCAUGGUGAGCCUCAGGGGAAACGUCGGAGCAUCCUGGGGAGGUGACAUGCCUAACUCCUGCAGAGGAGUGCAAGAAAAGCAUUCUUUAUCCAGACUGAGGUGGUGGAAUGUGGGCAACGGUGAGGGCAGAAGAGUUCAGAGUUGAAGAUUGGAGUCAGGAGAUGUUCAGCAGCUUUUCCGUGCUGUUGGGAUUUUUGUUUGUUUGUUUGUUUGUUUUUGUCUUCGAAGCUCUAGGAAAGAACCACCCCUUUCUAGUAAGCUGUGUGAGACAGAGAUGAAGAAGAAUUUUUGUAUGAGAAACACGAAAGUUUUCGUUGUCUAAAAGAGGCCAAAGAGGGCAUUGGAUCACCUGAAGCUGGAGUUACAGGUAGUUGUGAGCUGCUGGAGGUGGAUGCCGGAAACUGAACUGAGAUCCUCUGGAAAUGGAAAGUCUUUUUAAUGGCCUUCUCUGCUCAGUGAUCUGUGUGGGCAUUGAUACAAAGAGUAUCAUAACUAAUCUGGCUCAGUGAUUUGGUUCUCCUGACUCUAAGGAAGUUAAAGAUUUAAACUCAAUGCUAACCUCAAUUACUUUUGGGUAGAUCUGAAAGUCUGGAUCCUAAAUGUGUAUGAAGCAUCAAAGCCAGAAGCAGCAGGUCAAUGGUUAAUAAAUGCUACCAACUAACACGAAUGAGCCAUUUCUGUCGUUCAGCUGGAUCCCAUGUCUAGAAAUGGAAUUCAUCCACACAGAAGGCAGAGGGAAGGAAAUGGAGUUUUGAACUCUGCUUUUUCUCCAGUAUAAGAGGAAAGGUAUUUUACAUAUCCAUUUUUAACCCUCUAAACUAGAGGCAGUAUAGCCAUUUUCUGAACACCGGAGGGCAGUGUAGGCGCCUCUGACCUACACCCAGCCACAGCACCAAGUUGGUCCCCCAGCACAUGGCAUUUGUAUUAGUUCAUUUUGUAGUACUUUUACUUAUUCCAAAGUACUGGCUCUGUGAACCCACACUGUCUGCCACAAUUCUUAACAACUCGAAGGCAGGCUGCUUUAGAAUUUCAGUAUAACUGCUGUAUGGCCUGCCAGGGAGCUCGCACACUGUCUGCUUCCUCUUCUCAGCAGAGCCUGUGAGUUGAAUGAGGAAUACUGUUUCCAAUUCUGCAGUUCCAGUGCUGUUAGUUCUAAACAAAACUGAGAAAACUUUGUUUUCUUUUUGGAGAAAGGGUCUCUCUAUUAUGCUGGCCUCUAGAGAUCAGCCUGCCUCUGCAACUGAGUGCUAGACUCAAAAGGCACGUGCUACCACAGCUAUUAAAACUCCAAUUUUUUUUUCCCCAGACAGGAUUUCUCUGUAUAGCCCUGGCUGUCCCGGAACUCACUCUGUAGACCAGGCUGGCCUCCAACUCAACCCGCC
Long non-coding RNA from Mastomys coucha (southern multimammate mouse), 2021 nucleotides. RefSeq lists it as uncharacterized. The record is from RefSeq and is a predicted model, not a curated record. The transcript is spliced from 5 exons. Lineage: Eukaryota; Metazoa; Chordata; Mammalia; Rodentia; Muridae.